GCGCUACGAGAGGGGCCCGCGGCCGAUUAGCUAGUUGGUGGGGUAAUGGCUCACCAAGGCGACGAUCGGUAGCUGGUCUGAGAGGAUGGUCAGCCACACGGGGACUGAGACACGGCCCCG
RNAcentral lists this ribosomal RNA (120 nucleotides) under uncultured bacterium. RNAcentral's name for it is "partial 16S ribosomal RNA". It matches the Rfam family "Bacterial small subunit ribosomal RNA", at positions 215 to 334 of the family's 1533-position model. The record is from RNAcentral.